Molecule: non-coding RNA, 1693 nt
Organism: Biomphalaria pfeifferi
Lineage: Eukaryota; Metazoa; Mollusca; Gastropoda; Planorbidae
Source: the annotation of a GenBank genome assembly
CAAAAAAAAAAAAAAAAAAAAAAACAGAAGCAUAUUUAAAAAACAAAAAAACAAAACAAUCAUAUUUAAAAGAUACAAAACAAAUAAUAAUUAAGAUAAGUUUCUAGUGUAUACAGGAUUUAUUCAAGAAAGGUUAACAAUUAUGUGAAUGAACACUGUAAUUUUACUACUAAUGGUUUUGUUGUGUUUGCCAUUUCAAAAGUGUGCUAGUUUAGAAAGUGUAACGACUGUAUCUCAAAUGAUGUUUGAAAAUAGUUCAUUUGGUAUUUGGUGUAACAGUUUCCAUUGAAAACUGCCAAGGUUUAACAUUUUAAAAUUUUAACAGUUAGGGUUGUUCUUAAAGGUCUAAACCAUCAAGAUUGUAUUUCCGAAACAUCAGCCUUUUCUUUAGUUUCUAAUAAAUAAUUUAACGUUACAUUGCUAAAGACAUAACUAGAGUUUUUAUUUGAAUUCUGGUGUAAAAACAAAUAAUUCAGUUAAUGGUAGAAUAAGUUUCUCUCUCUUAAAAAAAAAUGUUAAGAUGUGUGAUUUAGCUAUGGAAAUUGUUGGUUUAGCUAUGUUGACAAUACUUGUUGGCUGUGUUAGAGAGUAGGCUACUAUGUUUAAGGUCCACUCUGAUUAAUUCUUCCAUAGAUAGAAGUAAUGAAUUGCAUUAUGUACCUCAUUAGUGAUCUGACCUGUGUCUCUGUGAUUUGAUACCCUAUUUUAAUUAUAAUAAUUAAAAAAAAAAAGCUCCUGCUCAUUUGAAUGUAUGUCUGUUGUAUUUUAUGCAUGCAAAAUGUACAGGCUUAUUUGAUGUUAUAAACAAAGUCUUGUAUUGGCUUCUUUUAUAUAGAGAUUUUUUUUUUACCUUUUUCUCUGUAUCAUAGAAAGGAAAUGUGGAAUUAUUUUAUCUCCAAAGCUCUAUAGCCAUUGUUUGAUUUCAGAUUUGACCUUUGUCUUUCAUUGUUUGACCUUUUUAUGUUUUGUUUAGCUCAUCUUUUGAUGUAAUUUUCAUCUUUGCUUAGAGUUAGAGCAAUAAGUACCCACCUUCGCAUUGACAGUCAUUGUUCUCUGUUUUUUUUUUAUUUUUCUCUUUUUUUUAAAAAUUUAGUAGGAGAAUGAUUCUAACAGCCAGCGAUAAAACUAAAGUUUAUACAUUUUGAAUUGAAAGCUUGCAUGUUGUUAAUAGAAGUCUAGCUUGAAUAGUUUGCAUUUGUCAAAUUAGUCUUUAAAUACAGAUUUGUUUAUAAUGUAUAAACUAUUUAAAUUAUUAUUUCUAAGUAUUGGUGAUUUUUUUUUUUACUAUAGAAGAACUAGGGAAUAUAAAAAAAAAGUUGAAGUUGUUUGAAAAUGCAUCAAUUGGUCUCCGUGUAUUUGAAAGAAUUAAAGUCUCUCUUUCGAAUGGGGUAUGGGUCUAGAACCGUUUUUUUUUUUUCGUCUUUGAAAAUGUGUUCAGCACAUCUAGCCAUAAUUACAGAAAGACCUUGACCUCUUGAUACCAAUAUCUUUUUCAUAUGAGCCUAUAGGGUAUUCUUUCGAUCAGUCCAUCUGUCUGCAGACUUCUUGUCUGAUAAAUUAUAAGUGUUGCAGUCAAGCCAGCUUUAAUUUUUAAGUAGAUGUUCAGUACUUUCAGAUAUUUAUUUAUAUUUGUAUUGCCUCAUGACUAAAUCUAUUUAUUGUAAAUGUUUGGAACUAUUGAAAAAGCUCUUUA